Conger conger (European conger) is the source of this 415-nucleotide long non-coding RNA. RefSeq lists it as uncharacterized. The record is from RefSeq and is a predicted model, not a curated record. The transcript has 3 exons. NCBI's taxonomy places the organism in Eukaryota, Metazoa, Chordata, Actinopteri, Anguilliformes, Congridae.
AGACUGGUCAAAGCUGACAGGAAGGUGACAGUAACACAAAUAUCCACACAUUACAACAGUGGUAGAAGAGCAUCUCUGAACACACAACGCAUCAUAACAUUAAAUGGAUAGCCUACAGCAGUAGAAGUCGAUCAGUUAAUCACAACAAUCUUUUUUGUGUUCCUUUCUGUUUUUCAGUGUUGUUUCUCGUGAAAGGUGCACUGCUUCUUGCCUUUGGAUUAAUUUCAUUCAUAUAUUGUCUGGUCAAAUGUAGAUGUGUGUGUCAGAAAGUCUUCCUUCUGCUUUGGUCCAUUCUUGAUAUUACAUUGAGCUUUGUAAUUCUGGACAUCAUUUUGGAAGACGAUAAAGAACUCCCUGCAUGGAUGUGUUUCAAUGUAUUCCUCUACGUCAUGACUGCCACAGUGGUCUUUCAGCA